GUGCUUGCUUUGGCAGCACAUAUACUAAAAUUGGAAUGAUGCAGAAAAGAUGGGCAUGGCCCAUGCACAAGAACAACACAGAUUUGUGAAACAUCCCAUAUCUUU
Molecule: small nuclear RNA, 105 nt
Organism: Talpa occidentalis (Iberian mole)
Lineage: Eukaryota; Metazoa; Chordata; Mammalia; Eulipotyphla; Talpidae
Source: RefSeq, a predicted model, not a curated record